Molecule: non-coding RNA, 92 nt
Organism: Pelobates cultripes (western spadefoot toad)
Lineage: Eukaryota; Metazoa; Chordata; Amphibia; Anura; Pelobatidae
Source: the annotation of a GenBank genome assembly
CCCCAGAUGUUGCUGAACUACAACUCCCAUGAUUCCAUGCUAUCUGUGUCAUUGAAAGAAUCAAGGGAGUUGUAGUUCAGCAACAUCUGGGG